Molecule: long non-coding RNA, 1391 nt
Organism: Pipra filicauda (Wire-tailed manakin)
Lineage: Eukaryota; Metazoa; Chordata; Aves; Passeriformes; Pipridae
Exons: 2
Source: RefSeq, a predicted model, not a curated record
GCGCAGGGGACGCCUGCGAAGCCGGCUGCCCUGCCCGCACUGUGUGUGCAGCCUCUCCCCACCUCUAGUUCCCAGGGCUAAGGGUGGCCAGACCGAGAAAAGCACUUUUCGUCCCUUAGUCGCAGAUGUCCGGGGAAAGAUGCACAGCUGAUUGGGGUGUUGGAAGGAUUAAGCGUGGGAAUACACCCCGAGCAGGAGCCGCCGGCGUGAGGAGCACGUGCUCUGUGCCCGUGUGGGGAGACCCACAGCAGCACAGCUUCCGAGCGCUGUUCAGGCUAUCCCCAGAAAUGCUCCUGCGCUUAUUAAGGCAUCUAUCAUGACAUUUAAUCAGGCUUAGCUGUGAGCCGAGCCCUCUCCGAAUGCUAGUUUGGGUUGGCUAAUGAGCUGUUUGACCUUAAAUGGUUAGUGUGGUGCAGAGCUUCCCCAAAAUCGCUCUGGCGCUGAGCACGGUUGCAUUUCUGCUUUUGAAAGGAUUGCAGAACUGCUCUUUUGAAGAUGGUGGGGGUGGGGAGGGGUUUCCAGUAAUAGAAGAAACAUGUUCUCUUUGUUGCUCUCAAAUGCAGAGGGCCGUGUGGUCCCAUGGGUUGUAUUGCCAGGGCUGUAUCCAGCCACCAGACUGCUGGACGAACGUCCCCCUGGUGCCCUUUAGUGGUGGGUUGUCGGCAGUGUAGGUUGGACUGGGUAUCAGGGCAAGCAGACGCUGCCAGGGGUUGCUAAAGUAUCUACUUGUAGAGCAGUUGCAUCAUACUUUUCCUUGCUGUAAGUGACUAAGAUGUCUCUGUUCGCUGUUGUCUUCCUUCUGCACCCAGGUGAGCAUACCUGGGCCAGGCCUCGGCUGGUGUAAAUCGGUGCAAUGCCACUUGUACACACACACACGUCUUCCCAGGUGUCCCUCUCAGAAUGCCAUGGAGGUAUGAGGCAGCAGAACUCCUCAGUGCUGAUUAGUUCGUGGUGCUGUCAAGAAGAAUAAAGCAGAGUAGGCACCCCACUUUAGUUUAAGGAGUCAAAAUAUAGAGGAAAAGGGGGAAAUGAAGAUGUUGCUGAAGAACUGCAGUAACAGGGAGAGAGCUGGACAUAGGCAGUUUUCUCAAAUAAACAGUCUUAGCACUACAAAAACAUUCUCUGCGUGAUUGCACUGCAGAAGCAGCGGGAUGGCUCGUGGGAGCUCUUGCUCAGGCAUUGACCCUGAGGCUGCAGGUCUGCACAGUCCGGGGGCAUCUCCCUUGAAGAUGGCUGUCUCCUGGGAACUGCUUAUGAAAACGAUGCCAUUCCCAGCCUUCAUCUGGGGAGCCAUAGAUUGCCUCAAACAGGACUAUCCUCAGGACCUUUAGCUUAGCAGAGAAGCUGCGAGGUUGGAUGUGAAUAAUAAACUACUCUUUCUCAUAAAUAUA